RNAcentral lists this ribosomal RNA (707 nucleotides) under Rhizopus stolonifer. Its description in RNAcentral is "LSU rRNA". It matches the Rfam family "Eukaryotic large subunit ribosomal RNA", at positions 52 to 658 of the family's 3401-position model. Lineage: Eukaryota; Fungi; Mucoromycota; Mucoromycetes; Mucorales; Rhizopodaceae. The record is from RNAcentral.
GGAGGAAAAGAAAAUAACAAUGAUUUCCCUAGUAACGGCGAGUGAAGAGGAAAGAGCUCAAAGUUGGAACCUGUUUGGCCUAGCUAAACAGGAUUGUAAACUGUAGAAGUGUUUUCCAGGCAAUCCGAGUUAAUAAGUCCUUUGGAACAGGGCAUCAUAGAGGGUGAGAAUCCCGUCUUUGAUUCGAGAUAUUUUGUCUUUUGCGAUACACUUUCAAAGAGUCAGGUUGUUUGGGAAUGCAGCCUAAAUUGGGUGGUAAAUCUCACCUAAAGCUAAAUAUUGGCGAGAAACCGAUAGCGAACAAGUACCGUGAGGGAAAGAUGAAAAGAACUUUGAAAAGAGAGUUAAACAGUAUGUGAAAUUGUUAAAAGGGAACCGUUUGGAGCCAGACUGGCUUGUCUGUAAUCAAUCUAGGUUUCGUGCCUGGAUGCACUUGCAGACUAUUUGCCUGCCAACGACAAUUUUUUUUGAGUGUAAAAACUAUUGGAAAUGUGGCCAAUAUUUAUUUAUUGGUGUUAUAGUCCUUUAGAAAAUACCUUGAAUUGGAUUGAGGAACGCAGCGAAUGCUUCUCUUUUGAGGCAAAGUCUUUUAUUGGGAUUUACGGAUCAGACUGUGGCAUUGUCACAAGACUUGAAGUUUAAACCUAUUUUUGAACUUUUAUUCGCUUAGGUUGUUGGCUUAAUGACUCUAAAUGACCCGUCUUGAA